RNAcentral lists this long non-coding RNA (1768 nucleotides) under Homo sapiens (human). Its description in RNAcentral is "non-protein coding lnc-CNOT2-1:4". The record is from RNAcentral. Lineage: Eukaryota; Metazoa; Chordata; Mammalia; Primates; Hominidae.
ACUCAUCUUCUCCUGCCCUGGCACAUCAAAACUCCAGGUUCUCUGAUCUUUGAACACUGGGACUUAAUCCAGCAUCCCCUUACUGCCUGAAGUUCUCAGGACUUUGGACUUGGACUGAACGAUGCUACCAGCUUCCCUGGCUUUCCAGCUUGUAGAUGGCGUAUCAUGGAAUUUCUCAGUCUCCAAAGUAAUGUGAGCCAAUUCCUAUAAUAACUCUCUUCUCUAUCUAAUCUAUUAAUAUUUACAUUUCUUAUUGUUUUUCAUUUACCUGGAGAACCCUAAUAAAACUUCCUGUUGCAUACCUUUAAUGUCAUCAUCAUUAUCUCAGUCCAAAAUUCUCCUUGCAGUCACUGGAAGUAAAAUAUUAAUAUCACCCAUAUUUUAAAUUCAAACUCAAAUCCUGCUUUUAAUAUAUUAUUAGUCAGCCAAAAUGUUGCAUUCUCUCUCUGAAUUUCUAAGGAGUCUAUAAUACUAGUUUCUACAUAUAAUCAAAUAUUGUUUUGUUCUUUCGGUGUGGAAUAUGUACAUGUUUUAUCUCCUACAGAAAUUUGUAAAUUUUCACAAGCAAGAAUCUUCUUCUACUUCUUUAACCUCACAAUGCAUAGAACAAGCAACCAAGAACCACAAAAAUCACUGGCCACUGACAAAUGACACUUCAAGAGGAAUACAGGCUUAAUAGCUGCGAACACAGGUUCGUUGAACAAAUGAAUAAUUUUGAAUGAUUCUUGCAUCUCCAUUUGGUAUUGUCCUUCCUUUUUCUUCUUUUUUCUUUCACUUCUACCCACCUACCAACCUCACAAAGUGUCCAGUACCUCACCCUAGAAUAGGUGAUACCUCUAGGAUACCUCACCAUAGAAUUCUGACUAGAAUUAACCCUACACAGUCAGCUCUAUAACUGUAGAGUAUUACCCACACCACCAAAAUAUUCUUCAUCAGAAUGUCCUGAGUUUGAUACAGUAAUCCAUGCUUAUAUGUCAAUGGAUGCUCCCCUCCUGGAUCAAAUAAGGUAGGUUUCAUAGGAAGAGAGACAAUAGAGCUUUAAACAAAUGGAGUUGACUUACAAAAAUUUUAACGUCCAAUGCAGCCAGUGAGGGAGAUCCUUUGAGGCAUUUAGGAACCUGUAGCAAUCUUUAAAUCAUAACAGAAUAGAAAAGAAGACCUACGAAUAGAAUAGGCUUACUAUAUUGAAUAAUAUGUAAAUUCAUAUACCUUUCACCAUACCUUGCCUUCUUACCUUCUAUCCUCCAAAUUUGUCAAACUGAAGACAUUAAAGUUGGUAAAUAUAUUUAUGACAAUUAGUCUUACUACUAUGAUUAACUAGUUUCAGAUUCUGACCAGCGCUUAUAUAACAUAACUCCCCAAUCCUGAAUUUUCUCAUUGUGCUAUUCGUCUGAUUACAAAAGAAAAUAUAUUUUUGUAAAAAUUUAGAAAAUAUAGAAAGUUUAAAUAAGAAAAUGGCAGUAAAUCAAACGCAUAAUCCAAAUAGCCAGAAAGAACCAUUAUUAAUAUCUAGAUAUAUUUCUUCUCAGUCUUUCCCUAAAAACUAUAAUUAUAAAAAUAUAUACACAUAUAAUAUAUACUUGCCUAAUUUAAUCAAUAUCCUAAAAAUAAACGUUUAUCUGUCCUACAUAUGUAACAUAGUUUAUGUAAUAAUUUUCCUGUUCUUAGACAUUUAAAUUAUUUCAAAAUUUUAAUUAUAAGAAACAGUGAGCAAAACAUGAUGAUAUAAGAAAUUUUAUUAUCAUCUCUACUUAUUUCCAUAAAAAAU